RNAcentral lists this ribosomal RNA (924 nucleotides) under Salmonella enterica subsp. enterica serovar Bovismorbificans. RNAcentral describes it as "partial 23S ribosomal RNA". It matches the Rfam family "Bacterial large subunit ribosomal RNA", at positions 2019 to 2925 of the family's 2925-position model. Lineage: Bacteria; Pseudomonadati; Pseudomonadota; Gammaproteobacteria; Enterobacterales; Enterobacteriaceae. The record is from RNAcentral.
UCUCCACCCGAGACUCAGUGAAAUUGAACUCGCUGUGAAGAUGCAGUGUACCCGCGGCAAGACGGAAAGACCCCGUGAACCUUUACUAUAGCUUGACACUGAACAUUGAGCCUUGAUGUGUAGGAUAGGUGGGAGGCUUUGAAGUGUGGACGCCAGUCUGCAUGGAGCCGACCUUGAAAUACCACCCUUUAAUGUUUGAUGUUCUAACGUGGACCCGUUACCCGGGUUGCGGACAGUGUCUGGUGGGUAGUUUGACUGGGGCGGUCUCCUCCUAAAGAGUAACGGAGGAGCACGAAGGUUGGCUAAUCCUGGUCGGACAUCAGGAGGUUAGUGCAAUGGCAUAAGCCAGCUUGACUGCGAGCGUGACGGCGCGAGCAGGUGCGAAAGCAGGUCAUAGUGAUCCGGUGGUUCUGAAUGGAAGGGCCAUCGCUCAACGGAUAAAAGGUACUCCGGGGAUAACAGGCUGAUACCGCCCAAGAGUUCAUAUCGACGGCGGUGUUUGGCACCUCGAUGUCGGCUCAUCACAUCCUGGGGCUGAAGUAGGUCCCAAGGGUAUGGCUGUUCGCCAUUUAAAGUGGUACGCGAGCUGGGUUUAGAACGUCGUGAGACAGUUCGGUCCCUAUCUGCCGUGGGCGCUGGAGAACUGAGGGGGGCUGCUCCUAGUACGAGAGGACCGGAGUGGACGCAUCACUGGUGUUCGGGUUGUCAUGCCAAUGGCACUGCCCGGUAGCUAAAUGCGGAAGAGAUAAGUGCUGAAAGCAUCUAAGCACGAAACUUGCCCCGAGAUGAGUUCUCCCUGAGACUUAGAGUCUCCUGAAGGAACGUUGAAGACGACGACGUUGAUAGGCCGGGUGUGUAAGCGCAGCGAUGCGUUGAGCUAACCGGUACUAAUGAACCGUGAGGCUUAACCUUACAACGCCGAAG